AAACAGAGAAUGAACCCAAUUCUCCAGAAACUGGCUCUUUAGCUAUGGGUGGAAAUGCCAUUUCAGAUCAAAAGGAAAGUAUUUUAUUUUGUCUCAUCGGACUCUCUGAAACAUACAAGAAUAUGGGGUAAUUUGAUGCGCACAAUAUUGAAACUGGAAGAUCCUCAAAUAGGAGAUGAGAUAAAAAGUACAGUAGUCUUCAGAAAUAUAGUCCCCAGAAGAGUGAAGCUAUGAAGCUGUUUUCCCGAAUACCAAAACUCCCUCAAGUUGUAUAAGAUUUAGUCACUGACUACAACUUCAGACAAUCUUUAUGUGGUCUUUAUGAGAAAUGACAACGAAUACCCGUACAGGUUUUCAUCAUUCGCAUGUAGGGAACCCUGUUAGAGAAAUCUGGCGGAGGAUGAGUACUCUGCUUUUUGGAGCGUCUUUACACCCUAACGUCUGAGGAGACGCCAUGCUUCCUCUCAGAGCUUCUUUAAAUCUCAUAAUGAAGAAACAACUUGAGCUGAAGUCAACACAUUUUUCUCCUUGGUAAUAUUUUUGACUUCUGGGUUAUCUUGGGCUUAUGUUUCAUUGCUCUAGUGUUCUUCGCCUAACGAUCCAGUUAAAUUCAUUCCCCUACGGCAGCUAUUCCCAGUCUUUUUCACAUCAAGUCCCAUAUAAAACGGCUGUAUUUGUACAGCACGUCAGCGUAAACCGAAGAGGAUUUUGGCGGUUUCUAAAUGGGGCUUGGUGAAAAAAAUAUUGUAUUUUCUUUCCCUUAUACAGAUGUGUUAAGAAAAGCAAAACACAAAUGCUAGGGGGAAUAUUACAAAUUGAAUUUGUACACAACUUCAAAAUAAAAUGUUUUCAUAUUUUAAAAGAAACUGGAAC
Molecule: long non-coding RNA, 873 nt
Filed under: Sus scrofa (pig)
Lineage: Eukaryota; Metazoa; Chordata; Mammalia; Artiodactyla; Suidae
Description: lncRNA (ENSSSCG00060044174.1)
Source: RNAcentral